This 497-nucleotide ribosomal RNA is filed under the name uncultured bacterium. Its description in RNAcentral is "partial 16S ribosomal RNA". It matches the Rfam family "Bacterial small subunit ribosomal RNA", at positions 28 to 507 of the family's 1533-position model. The record is from RNAcentral.
GAUGAACGCUGGCGGCGUGCCUAAUACAUGCAAGUCGAGCGAACGGACGAGAAGCUUGCUUCUCUGAUGUUAGCGGCGGACGGGUGAGUAACACGUGGAUAACCUACCUAUAAGACUGGGAUAACUUCGUGAAACCGUAGCUAAUACCGGAUAAUAUUUUGAACCGCAUGGUUCAAAAGUGAAAGACGGUCUUGCUGUCACUUAUAGAUGGAUCCGCGCUGCAUUAGCUAGUUGGUAAGGUAACGGCUUACCAAGGCAACGAUGCAUAGCCGACCUGAGAGGGUGAUCGGCCACACUGGAACUGAGACACGGUCCAGACUCCUACGGGAGGCAGAAGUAGGGAAUCUUCCGCAAUGGGCGAAAGCCUGACGGAGCAACGCCGCGUGAGUGAUGAAGGUCUUCGGAUCGUAAAACUCUGUUAUUAGGGAAGAACAUAUGUGUAAGUAACUGUGCACAUCUUGACGGUACCUAAUCAGAAAGCCACGGCUAACUACGUG